AGGGGCGUCGUCAAGUGGCCAAAGACAUCGGGCUUUGAUCCCGGCAAUCGAAGGUUCGAAUCCUUCCGCCCCCGCCA
Molecule: transfer RNA, 77 nt
Filed under: Burkholderia territorii
Lineage: Bacteria; Pseudomonadati; Pseudomonadota; Betaproteobacteria; Burkholderiales; Burkholderiaceae
Description: tRNA-Gln
Rfam family: tRNA
About the family: Transfer RNA (tRNA) molecules are approximately 80 nucleotides in length.
Source: RNAcentral